RNAcentral lists this ribosomal RNA (253 nucleotides) under uncultured bacterium. Its description in RNAcentral is "partial 16S ribosomal RNA". It matches the Rfam family "Bacterial small subunit ribosomal RNA", at positions 524 to 776 of the family's 1533-position model. The record is from RNAcentral.
UACGAAGGGGGAUAGCGUUGUUCGGAAUCACUGGGCGUAAAGCGCACGCAGGCGGAUCGAUAAGUCGGGGGUGAAAGCCCGGGGCUCAACCUCGGAAUUGCCUUCGAUACUGUCGGUCUCGAGUCCGGGAGAGGUGAGUGGAAGUCCUAGUGUAGAGGUGAAAUUCGUAGAUAUUAGGAAGAACACCAGUGGCGAAGGCGGCUCACUGGCCCGGUACUGACGCUCAGGUGCGAAAGCGUCGGGAGCACACAGG